GUCCUGGUGUUAAAGAGGCAGUUAAAUCUUGUUUAGCUGCGGGAAUUACUGUAAGGAUGGUCACAGGGGACAAUAUCCACACGGCCAAAGCCAUUGCUAAGGAAUGUGGUAUACUAACUGAUGAUGGUUUGGCCAUUGAAGGCCCAGAAUUCCGCAACAAAAGUCCUGAUGAAAUGAGGCAAAUAAUUCCUAGAAUUCAGGUUAUGGCUCGAUCAUCCCCUACUGACAAGCACGUGCUGGUAAAGAAUUUGAGAGGCAUGUUUAAAGAAGUUGUUGCAGUUACUGGUGAUGGCACAAAUGAUGCUCCUGCCUUGCAUGAGUCAGAUAUUGGACUUGCUAUGGGUAUAGCAGGAACAGAGGUUGCGAAAGAAAGUGCUGAUAUUGUAGUGC
Molecule: unclassified non-coding RNA, 390 nt
Filed under: Hevea brasiliensis (rubber tree)
Lineage: Eukaryota; Viridiplantae; Streptophyta; Magnoliopsida; Malpighiales; Euphorbiaceae
Source: RNAcentral